CCUACGGGAGGCAGCAGUGGGGAAUAUUGGACAAUGGGGGGAACCCUGAUCCAGCGACGCCGCGUGAGUGAAGAAGUAUUUCGGUAUGUAAAGCUCUAUCAGCAGGGAAGAAAAUGACGGUACCUGACUAAGAAGCCCCGGCUAACGACGGUCCAGCAGCCGCAGUAAUACGGAGGGGGCAAGCGUUAUCCGGAUUUACUGGGUGUAAAGGGAGCGUAGACGGUGCAGCAAGUCUGAUGUGAAAAGUGGGGGCCAAAACCCGGGACUGCAUUGGAAACUGGUGAACUUGAGUUCAGGAGAGGUAAGCGGAAUGCGUAGUGUAGCGGUGAAAUGCGUAGAUAUCAGGAGGAACACCGAUUGCGAAGGCAGCUUACUGGACUGUAACUGACGUUGAGGCUCGAAAGCGUGGGGAGCAAACAGGAUUAGAUACCCCUGUAGUC
RNAcentral lists this ribosomal RNA (440 nucleotides) under uncultured bacterium. RNAcentral's name for it is "partial 16S ribosomal RNA". It matches the Rfam family "Bacterial small subunit ribosomal RNA", at positions 338 to 795 of the family's 1533-position model. The record is from RNAcentral.